This 697-nucleotide ribosomal RNA is filed under the name uncultured bacterium. RNAcentral describes it as "bacterial SSU rRNA". It matches the Rfam family "Bacterial small subunit ribosomal RNA", at positions 48 to 725 of the family's 1533-position model. The record is from RNAcentral.
CUAAUACAUGCAAGUCGUACGCUGAAGCGCUCUGCUUGCAGAGCGCGGAUGAGUGGCGAACGGGUGAGUAACACGUGGGCAACCUGCCUGUAAGAUCGGGAUAACUCCGGGAAACCGGGGCUAAUACCGGAUAACCCGUGCCUCCUCCUGGAGGCGCGUUGAAAGGCGGCUUCGGCUGUCGCUUACAGAUGGGCCCGCGGCGUAUUAGCUUGUUGGUGGGGUAACGGCCCACCAAGGCGAUGAUACGUAGCCGACCUGAGAGGGUAAUCGGCCACACUGGGACUGAGACACGGCCCAGACUCCUACGGGAGGCAGCAGUAGGGAAUCUUCCGCAAUGGACGAAAGUCUGACGGAGCAAUGCCGCGUGAGUGAAGAAGGUCUUCGGAUCGUAAAGCUCUGUUGCCGGAGAAGAACAAGGACAGUAGUAACUGGCUGUCCCUUGACGGUAUCCGGCCAGAAAGCCACGGCUAACUGCGUGCCAGCAGCCGCGGUAAUACGUAGGUGGCAAGCGUUGUCCGGAUUUAUUGGGCGUAAAGCGAGCGCAGGCGGUCCUUUAAGUCUGAUGUGAAAGCCCACGGCUCAACCGUGGAAGGUCAUUGGAAACUGGGGGACUUGAGUGCAGAAGAGGAAAGUGGAAUUCCAUGUGUAGCGGUGAAAUGCGUAAAUAUAUGGAGGAACACCAGUGGCGAAAGGCGGC